RNAcentral lists this ribosomal RNA (440 nucleotides) under uncultured bacterium. Its description in RNAcentral is "partial 16S ribosomal RNA". It matches the Rfam family "Bacterial small subunit ribosomal RNA", at positions 338 to 795 of the family's 1533-position model. The record is from RNAcentral.
CCUACGGGGGGCAGCAGUAGGGAAUAUUGCUCAAUGGGGGAAACCCUGAAGCAGCAACGCCGCGUGGAGGAUGAAGGUUUUCGGAUUGUAAACUCCUUUUGUUAGAGAAGAUAAUGACGGUAUCUAACGAAUAAGCACCGGCUAACUCCGUGCCAGCAGCCGCGGGAAUACGGAGGGUGCAAGCGUUACUCGGAAUCACUGGGCGUAAAGAGCGCGUAGGCGGGAUAGCAAGUCAGAUGUGAAAUCCUAUGGCUUAACCAUAGAACUGCAUUUGAAACUGUUAUUCUAGAGUAUGGGAGAGGUAGGUGGAAUUCUUGGUGUAGGGGUAAAAUCCGUAGAGAUCGAGAGGAAUACUCAUUGCGAAGGCGACCUGCUAGAACAUAACUGACGCUGAUGCGCGAAAGCGUGGGGAGCAAACAGGAUUAGAUACCCUAGUAGUC